This 433-nucleotide ribosomal RNA is filed under the name uncultured bacterium. Its description in RNAcentral is "partial 16S ribosomal RNA". It matches the Rfam family "Bacterial small subunit ribosomal RNA", at positions 29 to 507 of the family's 1533-position model. The record is from RNAcentral.
AACGAACGCUGGCGGCAUGCCUAACACAUGCAAGUCGAACGAGACCUUCGGGUUUAGUGUCGCACGGGUUCGUAACGCGUGGGAACCUGCCCUUAGGUUCGGAAUAACUCCCCGAAAGGGGUGCUAAUACCGGAUAAUGUCUUCGGACCAAAGAUUUAUCGCCUUUGGAUGGGCCCGCGUUGGAUUAGCUAGUUGGUAGGGUAAAAGCCUACCAAGGCGACGAUCCAUAGCUGGUCUGAGAGGAUGAUCAGCCACACUGGUACUGAGACACGGCCCAGACUCCUACGGGAGGCAGCAGUGGGGAAUAUAGGACAAUGGGCGAAAGCAUGAUCCAGCAAUGCCGCGUGAGUGAUGAAGGCCUUAGGGUUGUAAAGCUCUUUUACCCGGGAGGAUAAUGACAGUACCGGGAGAAUAAGCACCGGCUAACUACGUG